GCGAAGGUUCAGCAGGGAGCCGUGGGCCGGGCGCGCCGGUUCCCGGCACGUGUCUCGGCACGUGGCAGCGCGCCUGGCCCUGGGCUUGGAGGCGCCGGCGCCCUGGAUCCGCCGGCCGUGGUCGCCGAGUCGGUGUCGUCCUUGACCAUCGCCGACGCGUUCAUUGCAGCCGGCGAGAGCUCAGCUCCGACCCCGCCGCGCCCCGCGCUUCCCAGGAGGUUCAUCUGCUCCUUCCCUGACUGCAGCGCCAAUUACAGCAAAGCCUGGAAGCUUGACGCGCACCUGUGCAAGCACACGGGGGAGACCAUUUGUUUGUGACUAUGAAGGGUGUGGCAAGGCCUUCAUCAGGGACUACCAUCUGAGCCGCCACAUUCUGACUCACACAGGAGAAAAGCCGUUUGUUUGUGCAGCCAAUGGCUGUGAUCAAAAAUUCAACACAAAAUCAAACUUGAAGAAACAUUUUGAACGCAAACAUGAAAAUCAACAAAAACAAUAUAUAUGCAGUUUUGAAGACUGUAAGAAGACCUUUAAGAAACAUCAGCAGCUGAAAAUCCAUCAGUGCCAGCAUACCAAUGAACCUCUAUUCAAGUGUACCCAGGAAGGAUGUGGGAAACACUUUGCAUCACCCAGCAAGCUGAAACGACAUGCCAAGGCCCACGAGGGCUAUGUAUGUCAAAAAGGAUGUUCCUUUGUGGCAAAAACAUGGACGGAACUUCUGAAACAUGUGAGAGAAACCCAUAAAGGAAAUACUAUGUGAAGUAUGCCGGAAAACAUUUAAACGCAAAGAUUACCUUAAGCAACACAUGAAAACUCAUGCCCCAGAAAGGGAUGUAUGUCGCUGUCCAAGAGAAGGCUGUGGAAGAACCUAUACAACUGUGUUUAAUCUCCAAAGCCAUAUCCUCUCCUUCCAUGAGGAAAGCCGCCCUUUUGUGUGUGAACAUGCUGGCUGUGGCAAAACAUUUGCAAUGAAACAAAGUCUCACUAGGCAUGCUGUUGUACA
Molecule: long non-coding RNA, 1000 nt
Filed under: Homo sapiens (human)
Lineage: Eukaryota; Metazoa; Chordata; Mammalia; Primates; Hominidae
Description: HSALNT0199026
Source: RNAcentral